GGGAUAUUCCUUUUCACCAAUUUCUCCCAUGAUUCGUUGGUUUCUUCUAUGACCUUCAGAGCAUAUUCCUUGCUUGUGGGUUUGUUGCCCAGACCAAAUCUGUUUGCAGGCUUACCGUCUGGUAUCUUGUAGUCCCUGAACCAGUCUCUGAUGGCAGUCAAUGUUCCCGGAAAAUGCUUCUCAACAUCAUCCACAUCAUUCACAAGAGAUGCUUUAGGAUCAUCCAAAGAAAUAGCCACAAUUUUCCAGUCAAGCUCA
This 258-nucleotide unclassified non-coding RNA is filed under the name Hevea brasiliensis (rubber tree). The record is from RNAcentral. Lineage: Eukaryota; Viridiplantae; Streptophyta; Magnoliopsida; Malpighiales; Euphorbiaceae.